Molecule: long non-coding RNA, 1190 nt
Filed under: Homo sapiens (human)
Lineage: Eukaryota; Metazoa; Chordata; Mammalia; Primates; Hominidae
Description: HSALNT0091811
Source: RNAcentral
AAAACACCCAAAGUCUUCCAUUAUUUAAUUAAAUUGGAGAUCUCAGAAUGGUCUGGAUUAAUUUAACUGCAGCCUAGUUAAUUGCUAGAUGGAUUGGUGAUAGCCAUAGCCUCAUUACAUUUCCUUUGCUUUAGGAUAAGUGCAAGAAGGCUGCUUCCAGCUCCAAAGCACCUAAGAAUGGAGGUAAAGCGAAGGAUUCAGCAAAGACAACAGAGGAAACUUCCAAGCCAAAAGAUGACUAAAGAAAUACAAGUUAAGGUAUCUGGUAUCUGCAUGUAAAAUCUUCAGCUGGUGGAUGGUGACUUUUGAAGAACAAAAGGCUUUGGCAACAGAAAACAAUUGUUCUGGGUGAUUUCUAGAAUGGUUUUUGUUGAGUCUCUGAACAUCCUAAAUAUUGGUUUGUUAUUCUUUUCCAGAAAGAAAAUGAAUUUGACUGGUUCACCUGUGUACUGAGUAUUGAUAAACUUUGAAUUUUUUUAAUUGCCUUCAAUUGGGAGAGAAAGCUUUAUAUUUGUAAGAAAUAUAUUUGAUAAAGUUUCUUAAAGCAACACCAAAAAAACAAAAGAAAAGCUAAGUGAAUUUUUGCACAUUCUACACACAGUGCCUGUAAAUCUCAUUUGUAUUUUCAGUUUGCCCUUAAUUUUUUUUGUUAGUGUUUAGAAAACAAUGUUUUAAACAUUCUUCAGUGUUCUGAUUUCUUAUUACCCCCUUUCCUCUUGGGCUUUUGAACUGUAUUUGAUGUUGCUUUGGGAUAAUGUUUAUAAGUCAAACAUAAGAUAUUGUACAUUGGGCACAUAUCUCCUCUUGGGCUGCUAAUAAUAAAUUAAUAACAGGUAACCUGGACAAACCAGGAAGCACCAAACCCCUUUUCAGUUUGAACUCUUCUUUGCCAGGUGUGAGGACUUCUGCAUCUUACAGUCAGCACAGAACACACUGAGACUUGAAUCAAGUCAGCAACAGAGCAAAAUAAAGGUUAGAUAAGUCCUUGUGUAGCAAAUUUCGAGCAUAAGAAAUAAAAUCUAAUUAAUUCUUAGGGUACUCAUCUGACUUGAACUCUGUUGGUUUACUGUGUUAGUAAACUGUGCUUUCUAUUAUCUAUACAUAAAACCUGAGCAGCAACUGUGUCUUUAGAGCUAUUGCCACAUUAGCCUUUGCACUGUAUAGCGUCUGGCUUUAUGGAACUUAAGUUU